GAGAACAGUGAAUGCUGCAUCCCCAAGACCAGCACAUCACAUCUGCCCAGGAUCAGCCUUAGGCAGCCCACAGUUCGCAUUUGCCAGCCCUGUGGAGAGGUGUGGGAGGUAAUGGUGAAAAUAGGGGAGGAUACCUGUCAAGUGAAGGUCUUCAGAAGAGAAGGGAGGGUGGAAGGUUAAAGAAUGACCUAGGUUUUAUGGCCUACUUCAAAGAAGAAGGGAAAGGAGAAGGACAAAAAGAUUCUUCAAUCUAUGGAAGGGGUACAGUGAAAUCAGUGGACCCCUAGGUUGGUUCACCUAGGAGAUGAUACAGUUCGGGAGAUGACCACUGGCCUCUGGUGUUACAUUUUGGACACAGCAGUAAAGGCUCGCGUAUAGUGACAAGAUCAUGGUUCACUGCAGCCUUGACCUCAUGGGCUCAAGCAGUCCUUCUGCCUCAGCCUCACAAGUAACAAGGACUACAGGUACAUGCCACCAUGCUAACCUAAUAAUUUCUUAUUUUUUCUGUUUAUAUGGAAUUUCCCCAUAUUGCCCAGGCUGAUCUCAAACUCCAGGGCUCAAGUGAUUCACCCACCUCGGCCUCCCAAAGUGCUGGGAUUACAGGUGUGAGCCACGAGGCCUGGACUGUUUUAAUUUCUGCUUUAUCUUUUUGGUGGGAGAGUGUCUGCUUUCUUGGGAUUUAUUUUGUUUCUAUUCUACAUUCAUUAAGUGAUUAAAUUGUUCAUUUAUAUUCAUUAUUUUUAAAAGCAUUUUUAUUAUGUGUUUCUCUUUUCACCCGUAUCUUUCAAGUUUUUAUAUACACUGACUUUAGUAUUCAUUUCUAAGCUCUUAUGUAGCUAACAUUAUGUUUCUUUCCAUUUGGCAAAGCAGUGAUAUUCAGGUUGACCCAAGUCACUUUUCAAGAAACCACUGUGUAGAUUGAUCAUGGUUUUCUAGAAUCUAUCCUAAAAAAAAGUCAUAGAUUAUCCUUAGUUUAAUUACUUUGCAGGCAAAUAUUGAUCUCAGAUAUAAUUUGAAGUUCUAUUUUUUAUUCUUAAUGUUAAGAAAAUAUCAGACUUAG
RNAcentral lists this long non-coding RNA (1060 nucleotides) under Homo sapiens (human). Its description in RNAcentral is "HSALNT0124832". The record is from RNAcentral. Lineage: Eukaryota; Metazoa; Chordata; Mammalia; Primates; Hominidae.